CCUACGGGAGGCUGCAGUGAGGAAUAUUGGUCAAUGGACGCAAGUCUGAACCAGCCAUGCCGCGUGCAGGAAGACGGCUCUAUGAGUUGUAAACUGCUUUUAUGCGGGGGUAAACGCAGAUACGCGUAUCUGUCUGAAAGUAUCGUACGAAUAAGGAUCGGCUAACUCCGUGCCAGCAGCCGCGGUAAUACGGAGGAUUCAGGCGUUAUCCGGAUUUAUUGGGUUUAAAGGGUGCGUAGGCGGUCGGUUAAGUUAGAGGUGAAAUCCCGAGGCUCAACUUUGGAAUUGCCUCUGAUACUGGUUGGCUAGAGAGUAGUGGCGGUAGGCGGAAUGCAUGGUGUAGCGGUGAAAUGCUUAGAGAUCACACAGAACACCGAUUGCGAAGGCAGCAUACCAAGGCACUACUGACGUUGAGGCACGAAAGCGUGGGUAGCAAACAGGAUUAGAUACCCCUGUAGUC
RNAcentral lists this ribosomal RNA (460 nucleotides) under uncultured bacterium. Its description in RNAcentral is "partial 16S ribosomal RNA". It matches the Rfam family "Bacterial small subunit ribosomal RNA", at positions 338 to 795 of the family's 1533-position model. The record is from RNAcentral.